UGGGGAAUAUUGGACAAUGGGCGCAAUCCUGAUCCAGCCAUGCCGCGUGAGUGAUGAAGGCCCUAGGGUUGUAAAGCUCUUUCACCGGUGAAGAUAAUGACGGUAACCGGAGAAGAAGCCCCGGCUAACUUCGUGCCAGCAGCCGCGGUAAUACGAAGGGGGCUAGCGUUGUUCGGAUUUACUGGGCGUAAAGCGCACGUAGGCGGACUUUUAAGUCAGGGGUGAAAUCCCGGGGCUCAACCCCGGAACUGCCUUUGAUACUGGAAGUCUUGAGUAUGGUAGAGGUGAGUGGAAUUCCGAGUGUAGAGGUGAAAUUCGUAGAUAUUCGGAGGAACACCAGUGGCGAAGGCGGCUCACUGGACCAUUACUGACGCUGAGGUGCGAAAGCGUGGGGAGCAAACAGG
RNAcentral lists this ribosomal RNA (404 nucleotides) under Actinomycetes bacterium. Its description in RNAcentral is "Actinobacteria bacterium partial 16S ribosomal RNA". It matches the Rfam family "Bacterial small subunit ribosomal RNA", at positions 355 to 776 of the family's 1533-position model. Lineage: Bacteria; Bacillati; Actinomycetota; Actinomycetes. The record is from RNAcentral.